GUCUACCGUCAUGUUACCCAGAACAAACCAGAUCUCUCCCAGCUGAUCUCAGAAGCUAAGCAGGGUUGGGCUUGGUUAGUACUUGGAUGGGAGACCACCUAGGAAGACUAGGCGCUGUAGGUA
Molecule: ribosomal RNA, 123 nt
Filed under: Pteropus alecto (black flying fox)
Lineage: Eukaryota; Metazoa; Chordata; Mammalia; Chiroptera; Pteropodidae
Source: RNAcentral